Molecule: long non-coding RNA, 537 nt
Organism: Oncorhynchus keta (chum salmon)
Lineage: Eukaryota; Metazoa; Chordata; Actinopteri; Salmoniformes; Salmonidae
Exons: 3
Source: RefSeq, a predicted model, not a curated record
GUAGGAAGUCUGUCUAGGUCAAGUUAUUACAAUAGAAUGAAAGGUGUCAGUGACUGUAGGAAGUCUGUCUAGGUCAAGUUAUUACAAUAGAAUGAAAGGUGUCAGUGACUGUAGGAAGUCUGUCUAGGUCAAGUUAUUACAAUAGAAUGAAAGGUGUCAGUGACUGUAGGAAGUCUGUCUAGGUCAAGUUAUUACAAUAGAAUGAAAGGUGUCAGUGACUGUAGGAAGUCUGUCUAGGUCAAGUUAUUACAAUAGAAUGAAAGGUGUCAGUGACUGUAGGAAGUCUGUCUAGGUCAAGUUAUUACAAUAGAAUGAAAGGUGUCAGUGACUGUAGGAAGUCUGUCUAGGUCAAGUUAUUACAAUAGAAUGAAAGGUGUCAGUGACUGUAGGAAGUCUGUCUAGGUCAAGUUAUUACAAUAGAAUGAAAGGUGUCAGUGACUGUAGGAAGUCUGUCUAGGUCAAGUUAUUACAAUAGAAUGAAAGGUGUCAGUGACUGUAGGAAGUCUGUCUAGGUCAAGUUAUUACAAUAGAAUGAAA